UCAGCUAGUUGGUGAGGUAAUGGCUCACCAAGGCGUCGACGGGUAGCCGGCCUGAGAGGGUGACCGGCCACACUGGGACUGAGACACGGCCCAGACUCCUACGGGAGGCAGCAGUGGGGAAUAUUGCACAAUGGGCGAAAGCCUGAUGCAGCAACGCCGCGUGAGGGACGACGGCCUUCGGGUUGUAAACCUCUUUUAGCAGGGAAGAAGCGAAAGUGACGGUACCUGCAGAAAAAGCACCGGCUAACUACGUGCCAGCAGCCGCGGUAAUACGUAGGGUGCAAGCGUUAUCCGGAAUUAUUGGGCGUAAAGAGCUCGUAGGCGGUUUGUCGCGUCUGCUGUGAAAACCCGAGGCUCAACCUCGGGCCUGCAGUGGGUACGGGCAGACUAGAGUGCGGUAGGGGAGAUUGGAAUUCCUGGUGUAGCGGUGGAAUGCGCAGAUAUCAGGAGGAACACCGAUGGCGAAGGCAGAUCUCUGGGCCGUAACUGACGCUGAGGAGCGAAAGGGUGGGGAGCAAACAGGCUUAGAUACCCUGGUAGUCCACCCCGUAAACGUUGGGAACUAGUUGUGGGGUCCAUUCCACGGAUUCCG
RNAcentral lists this ribosomal RNA (592 nucleotides) under Microbacterium sp. RNAcentral's name for it is "bacterial SSU rRNA". It matches the Rfam family "Bacterial small subunit ribosomal RNA", at positions 241 to 843 of the family's 1533-position model. Lineage: Bacteria; Bacillati; Actinomycetota; Actinomycetes; Micrococcales; Microbacteriaceae. The record is from RNAcentral.